AUGGAGCCGACCUUGAAAUACCACCCUUUAAUGUUUGAUGUUCUAACGUUGACCCGUAAUCCGGGUUGCGGACAGUGUCUGGUGGGUAGUUUGACUGGGGCGGUCUCCUCCUAAAGAGUAACGGAGGAGCACGAAGGUUGGCUAAUCCUGGUCGGACAUCAGGAGGUUAGUGCAAUGGCAUAAGCCAGCUUGACUGCGAGCGUGACGGCGCGAGCAGGUGCGAAAGCAGGUCAUAGUGAUCCGGUGGUUCUGAAUGGAAGGGCCAUCGCUCAACGGAUAAAAGGUACUCCGGGGAUAACAGGCUGAUACCGCCCAAGAGUUCAUAUCGACGGCGGUGUUUGGCACCUCGAUGUCGGCUCAUCACAUCCUGGGGCUGAAGUAGGUCCCAAGGGUAUGGCUGUUCGCCAUUUAAAGUGGUACGCGAGCUGGGUUUAGAACGUCGUGAGACAGUUCGGUCCCUAUCUGCCGUGGGCGCUGGAGAACUGAGGGGGGCUGCUCCUAGUACGAGAGGACCGGAGUGGACGCAUCACUGGUGUUCGGGUUGUCAUGCCAAUGGCACUGCCCGGUAGCUAAAUGCGGAAGAGAUAAGUGCUGAAAGCAUCUAAGCACGAAACUUGCCCCGAGAUGAGUUCUCCCUGACCCUUUAAGGGUCCUGAAGGAACGUUGAAGACGACGACGUUGAUAGGCCGGGUGUGUAAGCGCAGCGAUGCGUUGAGCUAACCGGUACUAAUGAACCGUGAGG
Molecule: ribosomal RNA, 742 nt
Filed under: Escherichia coli
Lineage: Bacteria; Pseudomonadati; Pseudomonadota; Gammaproteobacteria; Enterobacterales; Enterobacteriaceae
Also listed under: 2 other names
Description: bacterial LSU rRNA
Rfam family: Bacterial large subunit ribosomal RNA
Source: RNAcentral